Non-coding RNA from Pelobates cultripes (western spadefoot toad), 212 nucleotides. The record is from the annotation of a GenBank genome assembly. Lineage: Eukaryota; Metazoa; Chordata; Amphibia; Anura; Pelobatidae.
GCCAAGGGUGUUGCCUUUUGGAUCAGAUUCAAGGCUGCGGUUUUAGAAAAGUUCUCAUCCAUAAAGCUGUCUGCAGUACCUGAAUCGAUCAAGGCUUUAGUUGUUAUCGUGGUUUUAUUGACCAAAAGAGAAACCGUUAUAAAUGGUCUGGAGAUGGACAUAUGAGGGGAAAAAACCAUAACACACGUUCUUUCGGCUUCAGAUAAACCUAC